GUCAGCAGUAAAAAUCCAAUGUUGCUGAACAAGAAUGGAAGCAGAUUUUCUGGCCUCAAUCUAUUUAAACAUGCUUGGUGUCAGCAUAUCAAUUAGUCUGAGGAGGUAAACGGCCAGGAAAAGAUGUUUGGACAGAACGUGGAUUUUAAUUCUGAAAAAUGGCUUGGGAAAAUGUAUCCGAAAAAGUCAGCAGUGGUUUUCGCCUUGGAUCUCUGCCAUGGGUGCAAUUUCUGCCCGGUCUCUUCCUUAUUGGACGGACCUUAACUGAGGCAAGUGAGGCCUGCAGUUCUUUAUAUGUUGUCUUGGGUUACUGUGUGACCUCCAUGAUGAAUCUGUCAUGAUCUGUAUCCUGCAGUUCCUCUGCAAGGCGUUUGCCUUUUUUCUUUCUCCCCAGCACUAAUCACCUCCUCGCCCGCACACCUGGUUCCAAUCAGCACUCAUCACUGCGUGCACUUAAGCCUGCCUGUUCCUGUGUUCCAGUGCCAGGGUAUUCUCGCACCUCUGUUGUACACCGGCCGACUCAUUGCUCCAGCUUGUGAGAAAGACUCCCAGAUUACUUGUGCUUGUACUUACUUGUUUUUCCUCAUCCUUCUCCAGUGCCUUCCUGUGCCUCAUAAUUAACCUCCUGCAUGGUAGAGCUGCUCGGUGGGCUACCGCUUUGUGGCAUAAUUCCUCCCCCUUGUUAAUCUGUUUUGACUUGUUUUCCGCCAAACUCACUAAGGUUUUUGACCACCCCAUUAAGGGCAGUCCCUUACUCAGGGCUCCAAAUCCGUAGCCUCAUACUUGAUCGAUGUCUGAAUUGAGGCUGAAUUCAGGAUUUUUGCUAAAGGGCUGUCUGAACGGCUCAAGGAUGAGUUAGCGGCCAGAGAAGAGCCCACCUCGUUGGAGGGGCGAAUUUCAUUGGCCAUUAAAAUAGACUAUCGUCUUAGAGAAGGACAUAGAGAGAGAGAGAGGAUAAAUCCCGCAGUCUAGCACUCUCUGCAGGCUUUGCCCGUCCAGCAACACCGCUGCAUGCGGAAACCCCUACUGCCUCCUCAUCAUCCCCCAGUGGACUGGAGGAGCCUCUGCAACUGGGCAAGACCCAUCUAGACCCUCUGGAUCGUCAGUGCUGUUGUAGUCACUGGCUUUGCAUUUACUCUCACUGUCACUGGCUUUUGCAACUCUCACUGUCUUCACUCAGCCGUCCCAACCUCCAGUAAACCUCAGCCGCCAGUAGCACCACUCGAUCUCUCCCUGGUCCCGGAAGAAUACCACAAUCUCUCUCCGGUUUUCUGUAAGGAUUUGGCCAUCUCCUACCCCUCCACCGCCUUAUGACUGCGCCAUCGACCUUCCUGGAGUUCCUCUCCCCUAGAGUUGCCUCGUCAACCUUUCCUGCCCUGAAAAGAUUGCCAUAGAGAACUACAUCAGUGACUCCCUAGCCUCUGGACUAAUUCGGCCUUCCUCCUCCCCACUGGGGGCUGGUUUCUUCUUUGUUGGGAAGAAAUAUUCCACUCUCCACCCCUUAUUGACUUCCAUGGGCCCCACGACAACCAUCAAGAACAAAUCCCCGCUGCCCCUCAUUGACCCAUCAUUUGAACUCCUAUGCGACGGAAGUACUUUAGUGGGGACACAACUCCAAAGUGACCUGUCAUCCCGGAAUCACUCGAACCCUCCAAUUCCUCCAACAACACUUCUGGUGGCCCUGGUCCCACAUUGCCUUGGACUUUGUUACUGGCCUCCCCCCCUCUGAAGGUAACACCAUCAUUCUUACCGUCAUAGAUCGUUUCUCUAAGUGUGUCCACUCCGUGGCCCUUCCCAAGUUACCUUCUGCUCUCGAGACCGCUAACCUUCUAGUCCUCCACAUGUUGUAACUUCACGGAAUACCCAUAGACAUUGUCUCGGACCGAGGUCACGUGUUCUCCUCCCAGGUCUAGAAAGAGUUCUGUAAGGCGGUGGGCGCAGCAGUCCGUCUGUCUUCUGUCUACCAUCCGCAGUCCAACGGUCAGACGGAGCGUGCAAAUCAAAAUCUGGAGUCUGCUCUUCGCUGCGUUACCGCACACAAUCCUGUCUCCUGGAGCACCUUUCUCCCGUGGGCACUAAUCACCUCCUCGCCCGCGCACCUGGUUCCAAUAAGCACACAUCACUGCCCGCACUUAAGCCUGCCUGUUCCUGUGUUCCAGCACCAGAGUAUUUGCCUUCCUGUGCCUCCAGCCACACUGCCAAGCUCACUCCCCUGCUCACGCUACCUUCUCCUGCAAGCUCCCUGCUCCUACGGACCGGGCUCAAACCUUGGAAUUCUCGGCUCCGCGCUACCCUCAAUAAAUCCCUU
This is a long non-coding RNA of Phyllopteryx taeniolatus (common seadragon), 2308 nucleotides long. RefSeq lists it as uncharacterized. The transcript has 4 exons. The record is from RefSeq and is a predicted model, not a curated record. Lineage: Eukaryota; Metazoa; Chordata; Actinopteri; Syngnathiformes; Syngnathidae.